AAGACCUUAAGUUAAGCUAAACUGUGGGCCUUCAAAGCCUGAAAUGGGCUGUCUCAACCCAGGUCUUG
RNAcentral lists this transfer RNA (68 nucleotides) under Cerithidea obtusa. RNAcentral's name for it is "tRNA-Trp". Lineage: Eukaryota; Metazoa; Mollusca; Gastropoda; Potamididae. The record is from RNAcentral.